AAUGGGCGCAAGCCUUAUCCAGCCAUGCCGCGUGCGGGAAGAAGGCCUUCGGGUUGUAAACCGCUUUUGUCAGGGAAGAAAUCUCCUGGGAUAACACCUCGGGGGGAUGACGGUACCUGAAGAAUAAGCACCGGCUAACCACGUGCCAGCAGCCGCGGUAAUACGUAGGGUGCAAGCGUUAAUCGGAAUUACUGGGCGUAAAGCGUGCGCAGGUGGUUGUGAAAGACAGACGUGAAAUCCCCGGGCUUAACCUGGGAAUUGCGUUUGUGACUGCACGGCUAGAGUGCGGCAGAGGGGGAUGGAAUUCCGCGUGUAGCAGUGAAAUGCGUAGAUAUGCGGAGGAACACCGAUGGCGAAGGCAAUCCCCUGGGCCUGCACUGACACUCAUGCACGAAAGCGUGGGGAGCAAA
RNAcentral lists this ribosomal RNA (410 nucleotides) under uncultured bacterium. Its description in RNAcentral is "bacterial SSU rRNA". It matches the Rfam family "Bacterial small subunit ribosomal RNA", at positions 370 to 772 of the family's 1533-position model. The record is from RNAcentral.